CAAAAUGGUUUAACUUUUAACAAGUACUAUGCAAUGUAUUUAAACAACACUGAUGAUCAAACACAACAAAACAAAAAAACAGUAUCCAGUGUUGUCUUAUGAAUUAUUAUAUAAACGUUUUACAGAAGAUACGUUGAUUUUUACUGUGUAAAAGAAUAACUUGACUCAAAAAUGUUUGACUUUUCUCCUAAUGUAUCAGUAGAAGGUGUGUGGUGUAUUAGCCAACCACUUUGUGUCAGUGUAAAGUGAACACGGUCAUCAUUACGUACUCGGAGAAGAAGGUACAUCCCUGCACCAUAAAGAUUAAUGCCCACAUGCUCCUGAAAAUGUGAUGAUGUAAUGGAUAUUUAUGGUUGGGCUGCUUUUUAAUCUUACAAGACGAGAAGCAUAUGCGGCAGAUUUUAGUGAAGUAAGACUUGAGAUUUGUCAUUCACACAAGGAAAGGCAGUAAAAAAGAUCUGCUGUCUGGAAUCAGGUGGGAUGAAAGAAAACGAUUUGAAAAAGUUCAGAGGAGUUACUCCCUGGUACGGAACCGAUGGAACAAAAUUGAUUUCCAGUUCACUGCUGGUCAGAAAUUAGAUUCAUUUAUUGAAGAACUGGCUGCAGGUUUCUAAUGUUCUUAACUUCUAAUAUAUUAUUUAGUCUCAAAUGUAGAAUACUGUUUAUCUAGUUGCAACACCAUUUUUUUUUCAUGGAAAAUCUGCAUGGAACCACUAGUGCACAAUAUAUCCUAUCGCAGAAGUUCCUCAAGAGUUCAUCUGACAUUGAACCACUAAAAACCUGGUCUGAAUGGGAUGUAGCUGCAUUUCCCCUUAAAUUUAAGGCAGUUCCAGUCAUUGUUAAAAUGAAUAGUUUGUUGGACGGGUGCAAUAAAGAUGAAAUAUUUCUCCCUAUAUCAUUUUUUAUUUUGUAUUAAGUCACAUGUACAGUGUUUGUGUAAAAAUCUUGAUUGUUGUCCAAGAAUGAAGCCUUAUGGGUAGACCUUAUAUGUUAGCCCUAUUCUAAAAUACACUUAUCGACCACUUGUGACACUGUAGUCAUCAAGAUAUGGACAUGGUAAGCAGCAAUACUCAGGUAGCCAGUGACCUUGUAACCAUGCUCAAUUGGUGUUACCAGGCCAACCGAGAGACAUAGUCUUUCCGGCGAGUACUGGGUCUUCUCCACCCAGUGGGACAUGCCUGGAACACAACUCCACGGAGACGUCCAGCAGGCAUCCGGACCGGAUACCCGAGCCACCUCAACUGGCUCCUCUCGAUGUGGAGGAACGGCUUUAUUCUGAGCACUCUGCGGGUGACCACGCUUCUCACUGUCUAUAACGGAGCGCCCAGCCACCCUCUGGAGAAAGCUCAUUUCAGCCGCUUAUAGUCGAGAUCUCGUUCUUUCGGUCGCAACCCUGAGCUCAUGAUCAUAGACUGUUACAGUAGCAGCACAACAGUGGACGCCGCUCCAAUCUGCUUGUGGAUCCCAUGUUCCAACCUCCCCUUACUCAUGAACAAGACUUCAAGAUUGGGUUAAUAGCCAUUUCACACAUGGUAUCUGCAGAGUAGUACACAGCUCCUCUGGGGGGACCCCGAGGCGUUCCCAGUCCAGCCGAGAAACACAGCGUGUC
Long non-coding RNA from Oryzias melastigma (Indian medaka), 1609 nucleotides. RefSeq lists it as uncharacterized. The record is from RefSeq and is a predicted model, not a curated record. The transcript has 4 exons. NCBI's taxonomy places the organism in Eukaryota, Metazoa, Chordata, Actinopteri, Beloniformes, Adrianichthyidae.